AGAAAUUGGAACACGAACACUGUGCCUGUUGGGAGAAGCUUUAUGAGGUUGCCAACUGAUGCGCCAACUGAUGCGAGGGUGCUGUUUCUCAAACCAUUGUUUUUUGAGGUACUUGGUAACAAUGAUGAAGUGUCUGCAAUCAUUUUUUGUUUGUCUUUGUACUGUUAUUUUUUUCUGCAGUUGCAUGCAGCUCAAACUGUUUCACAAACAUACCACUGGUAUUGUAUUAGUUUGUGUUUUUUGUUUCAGUGCCCCAUGCCUGUGUUCAUCUUAUAGGAGCACAAGUAGGUUGUUACGUAAAAUCACUAGCAAUCAUAUGGGGAGCAUUCAUUUUUGGAGAUCCCAUAUCGACAAGAGAUUAGAGUCUUUCAUUGUAUAUAAGUGGAUGCAAACCUCAAUCCUAUGAGCUGAUUUUAUGGAAGUUGAGUUAGACUUAAAAUCCACUUUGUAAUAUUCAUCUUCAAAAAUCAUGACCAUCUAUUCAAUGACAUGUACAUUGAAC
Molecule: long non-coding RNA, 502 nt
Filed under: Phaseolus vulgaris (common bean)
Lineage: Eukaryota; Viridiplantae; Streptophyta; Magnoliopsida; Fabales; Fabaceae
Description: long non-coding RNA (PVUL_LNC003981)
Source: RNAcentral